Molecule: long non-coding RNA, 378 nt
Organism: Tupaia belangeri chinensis (Chinese tree shrew)
Lineage: Eukaryota; Metazoa; Chordata; Mammalia; Scandentia; Tupaiidae
Exons: 4
Source: RefSeq, a predicted model, not a curated record
CCUUCUUUUAGGUAAAGCCUCAUGUGUAUCAAGUUAAUUUGCAACAAAUAUCUGAAAAGAUUGACAAUUUCAAGAAAGAAAACACAGAACUUGCUGAAAAAAUAACUGUUUGGGAACAGAAGGUUAAUAAAUUAAAGAGAUGUCUUCAAGAAACUAAACAUCUCAGUGAUGAGGCACGUAAACUUAAGGAUAAUAUCAAAACUGUUGAUGGAACUAUGAAAGCUGUGAACAACAUCAUGCAGGGUACACUAUCUUGGCUAGAUACUGAGAAGGAUGGAAAUGUCAAGACUCAAGGCUUGGUAAGAGUUUGGCUGCUCCUUUUUAUUCUAUCUUGGUUUCUGAGGUGUUUGGGCCAGUAGGUGAGCUGAGAACUGCAUU